GCCCUCGUGGUGGAAUGGUAGACGCGGCGGUUUCAAAAACCGCUUCCGAGAGGAGUGCCGGUUCGAGUCCGGCCGAGGGCACCA
Molecule: transfer RNA, 84 nt
Filed under: Paracoccaceae bacterium
Lineage: Bacteria; Pseudomonadati; Pseudomonadota; Alphaproteobacteria; Rhodobacterales; Paracoccaceae
Description: tRNA-Leu
Rfam family: tRNA
About the family: Transfer RNA (tRNA) molecules are approximately 80 nucleotides in length. Their secondary structure includes four short double-helical elements and three loops (D, anti-codon, and T loops).
Source: RNAcentral